This 639-nucleotide long non-coding RNA is filed under the name Elaeis guineensis (African oil palm). Its description in RNAcentral is "long non-coding RNA (EGUI_LNC079733)". The record is from RNAcentral. Lineage: Eukaryota; Viridiplantae; Streptophyta; Magnoliopsida; Arecales; Arecaceae.
GACAAUAUUAAGAAAAUGGCUAUAGAGAUAUUAGAAAAAUCAAAGAAAAAGGAGCUAUCCGUAAGAAAACUUGGUGGUGGAAUGAGAAAGUUCAAUCAAUAGUUAUGGCUAAAAGAGAGUGCUUUAACGGACUAUCUAAAUAUAGGAAUAAAGAAGCGUAUGAAACUCGGCUAAGAAGGAAGUUAAGAAGAAAAUAUGAGGGGCUAGAUUCAAAGCGUAUAAAGAGUUAUAUUGCAAGUUAGAAAUUAGGGAUGGAAAAAAAUAUCUAUAAGAUUGUAAGACUUAGAGAAAAGAAAACUAGAGACUUAGGCUAGAUACAUCGUAUGAAAUUAAAAAUUGGUUAAGGAGGAUGAGAUCAAAGAAAGAUGGAGAAGUUAUUUUGAUAAACUAUUUGAUGCAAAUCAUUUAAAUGGUUUGGGGUACCUUACUAGUUCCAUUGAAGAUUUAUGUUUAAUAUAUAUGUAGAAUUAGAGCAUUUGAGGUAAAGAAGGUUACGAAAAGGAUGAAUAGGAAAAAUAGUUGGACUUAAUGGAAUUUCUAUUAAGGUUCGGAAGUGUUUAGGUGACUUGAGGGGAACCGGAUGACUAAUUUAUUUAAUAAGAUUGUAAAAAGACCUAGAAAAUGCUUGAUGAAUGGAGG